RNAcentral lists this long non-coding RNA (4367 nucleotides) under Xyrichtys novacula (pearly razorfish). Lineage: Eukaryota; Metazoa; Chordata; Actinopteri; Labriformes; Labridae. The record is from RNAcentral.
UCUGCAAUCAGGCGCAUGUUCCACUCCUUCUAAAACAGGAGCGUUUUGGAAGGUUUUUUUUACGCGCAACAGUCCCAUUUUCAUCAUUUACCUGAAAGCAGUGUUUUGCCUUUUAUCUCUGCUGCGUGUUUGUUUGUUGUCAUCUUCCCCCACGCGACUAUUUUCUUUCCAUUUACAGGACGACUCAACUGUAGUGUUCAUUUUAAUCCGGGACUACAUGACUAAAAGGUAAGUUGUCUCCUUUCUGCUGUGACCGCGUCCUUGCUCUAACAAUGUUGCUGCGAGUGAGUGCGAGUGUGUGUGCGAGUGUGUGUGUGUGGGUGUGUGUGUGCGUAAAAUGUUGUGCCAGGGUCACAGGUGCUCGUCAUCAUCUCUUGAAAGGCGUGGUUUUUGUCCACCCAUCCUUUAUAUAUUUAUUUGGGAUGAGUGGGAGACAAGCCGCGUGAGUUUUACGCGCGUAAUUUUAGUACAAUUGGUUAGAAUUAAAGUAAAGCGACUCGAUAAAUAACAGUGAUUUUUACCGUACAUGCAUUUUUUGUCCAUCUGUAAUGUUUGCAUUAAAUAUGUAUCUAAUAUGUCUCACGUUUGAGUGCGUUUUGAAAACAUUUUGAUCAGGAAUCCUCGCGAAACAAUAAUUUUCCUGACCUAAUACACCUGUUUCUCCAUCUAGAAUUAUAAAACAUCUCUGUUUAUUUAACUAAAUAUACUUUUAUGUAUUAAUAAACACCGGAUAAAUCAUGUUAAAUUUGAAACAUCACAUGAAACAAUGAUAAUCAACGCUUCUCUUGCGCAUGACAUCCAUGCGAAAUCGCAGCCCGGACAUGUCUUAUUGUCCCUGUCUUGAACUCCUGAGAGACCUCUCUCAGUGUCUGUGUGUCACCGCAGCUCCAUGCAGCUCUCACUUAAUGAAGAUGCGUUCGCCAUUCACUCCUUCUGCUCCCACAGUCUAUAAAAAGCAGUGGUUUCUGCUACACAGAGCCAGUCUUGUGCUUUUGCCCCAGCCAGCGACGAGCUGCUGGAAAAAGAAAGAUCCAGAUGCUUUGGCCCCCUUUUUUUUUUCUUGCAAAAAGAAUAUGGCCUUGUGUGCGCUGAGGUGCAUUUUUGCCAGGACGCGCGAGGUUUCCAUGGUGCGCGCGAUGAAAGGGAUCACACAGAAAAGUUGGUUGGUGAAUGACAGGCCGUACAGGAAGAGCGGCUGGAAAUGAGCACGAUAUGAUGGAUUUUAGAGAGAGGGGAAAAAAGGCACAAAUUACGAGGCUCUCUGAGUAUUAACCGCAAAGAUGCGUGUCAAGGAAGUUGGAUGACCCCCUUUUUUAGCAGCCAAAGUGCGUGUGCACAAGUCUGUCCUUUGUGUCACCCUGACAACACACUUUCUGAUUUUUUUAUUCACUUUUUUACGAGUUUUUCUGCAAUGUCUGCAAAAGUCAAAACCUCAAAUUCAGAAGUAAGAUUAAAUUUACCAAAGAUUAAACUUCUCUCACAUUGAAAACAGGACGUUUAAACGUCUAAAUGAAUGCAACGAGGUAUUUGUGUAAACUAUGAUAUAGGAUUUAUUCAUUAGAGUGGAGGCCUUUUCUGUUUCAGACAGUCACGUGUUAAUCUCUUCCAGUCUACUUGAUAUGCAGCAGUUAUUAUCAGGACCCCAACCAAUGGGACUCCAAGGUCUCUGCAACUAAACAAGUUUCCCUUCCUCUGUCUGCAGAUGUAGGGUAAAAUGUAUAAAAAACACUUUUAGAUUUUUUUUACACAACAUUUAUCGAGUAUAUGUUAUAAAUAAAACAGUAAAAAGAUUAAAUUUCAUUUUAUUAUUGAAAAAGUUGAAUCCAAGUAAGAUUUUCGGGCACUUUCUUUAAGUGUUAAGUUAUAAAUAUGACCAAAACUAAAUUGAACUCGAUCAUUAAGUUUUAUUUCCACAGGUUCACCUGCUAAAAAAAAACACACUCUCACUCUUAAAACGGUCUCGGCCUCAUAUUAGAUGUUAAAUGCAAACCUUCUCCAAGUCUAGAGGGAAUAUUUCGACCUGCCACGAGCUAUGUUUAGAUUUUAAAAUUCAUGUGAUGUACCCCCCAACUACAGCAAAGCGACUGGAAUAAUAUCCACCAACUCACUCAAUCAGUUAAUUGUAUUUCGUUUCCUUUUUUUUUUUUUUUUUUUUUUUGAUAGACAUGCGUAAUAGGCACUAAAUAUGCAAUACAAAAAAAAUCCUGUUUGCCCAUCCGUUUUGAAGACCAAAUCGUCCCGUGCUUUUCAGGUAACUUUUUCCUUUUCUUUUUUUGGCUAAUGAACUUGGGCUAUUCUGCCAGCAUCCCCCUGAGAAUGCGACUUAAAGGGGAAGGGGGGGAAAACGCUUCUCUUGUGGUAAAAGGUGCGAGUUUCUUCCUCUAUCUCUCGGCUAAUUAGGCGGGGUCUGAACACGCCAGGAUGAAUAUUCAUGAAAGGCACCAGCGCGCAAUUAGUAGUGGAGAGAGUUCCCAACUUCAAUCCCCAAAACAACGCAGCUUGUGGAGGGAAAGGGGGUACUGGUUCCCCCCCUUCUCCACUCCAUGUGUCCCUGCUUCUGCUCGAGCACUCUUUGAGCCCCCUCACUUAUACUCUCAACUCUUAUCAGCCAGACUCCUGCUCCCACUUUCAAAGCAGCCAGCAACAUGAGUGAUCUGUCCACUCCAUGUUGGGAAUAACAGUUAAUCCAAUUACAUUUCUCAAUAACUUCUGAAGUGGUAGGAGAGAAUUUCCUAUGUCACAUGAGGUGUUAGGAGUUCCUGCAGAGACGUGAACAAAAUCCCAUUCAAAACUCACAUAUGAAUAAGCUUGAAGUUAAAAAGGAUCCUCUUGAUGGGGGACAUUUUCCGCACUUACUUCAUGAGGUUGAAGAUGAGCAUUUGUAACUGAAACUGCACACACACACAUGCAGAAACACAACUUGUGCACACCUCCACCACCUAAUGAUGCAUAUCAUCUAACACCUCCACCACCUAAUGAUGCAUCAUCUAACACCACACAAUUCCAUAAGCAUCACACCUCACUUUUCCAAAUCCCCUGAAUCGCCAAUGGCCCUUGGUGCACACGCCUGCCCCAUCCCCUUAAAGCCUCCCUCCACCUGUCUUGUGGUUUGUGUGUCACGCCAGCCUGUGUGGCUGUCCGCCUGUCCGUCCGCCCCACCGAAGACCCACAAUCCUCUGCUUUGAAUUCAAGGUGAUUCUUAUCCCCGACCCCCUCCUUGCCCCUGCGCGUUUGCCUCUUGCCUCCAUAAAGACGUGUUUAUGUAUGUAUGUAUGUGCAGAGGGGAACAUGGGGAGGGUUUUUCAAGGGUUGGGGGGAGAUAAGCAGAGGAAUUUGAGGCCGGUGAAUAUGGAUGGGGUCCCUGCUUUAAGAGAGCACCGCUGAUAGAGAGGUAAACAGCUCCUGGCCAGGAGAGGGGAGGAGGAGGAAGGGAUGAGGAGGUGGUGGAGGGGGUCUGCUUGAUGCAUGCACUGGCAUACAUUUGAGGCCUAACUCCAUAUCCCUCUCUCUCUGUUAUUCGCUCACCAUCUCUGAGGACUAUCUGUCAUUAUUCCCUCACCUUUCUCUGUCGUUGGGCUUUUGCUCUCUGACAAUCUUCAGGUUCCAUUAUCAAAACACACACAGAGAGAGUGAGGGUGUUUGCAAACCUGAUUUAAGCCUCAGAAGUUUUUAGUUUCUCUGCGCUGAUGCUGCAUUUUUAAGAGCGAUGAAAUCAGCGCAGGUUGUUGGCUACAGGUGGGGAUUUUUUCUGCAUAAAAUCAUCUCCAAAAACAUUUCUUCCUCUCUCUUUUUCUGUCGCCUCUUGUGAAGAACUUGACAACACCAGAAACAUGACCAUCUCAGACUUGUUCUGACCCUCUCUCUCUUUCUCUGUCUCUCCUCUCCUCCUGACAGAUCCUGAGAGUCUGAGCGGCUUUGGAAACACAGAGGCCGUGACCCAGCAGGCCACAGCAGGAGUGAGUCGACGUGUCUCACACGUGUAGUCACAAUUUAAUGUGUGCAAGAGUGCAAACAUGCUACUUAUGUUUAAUCUGUUGUUCAUGAGUCUGUUCAGCUCCAUUCCAGUCCUUUUAUUGUGAGAUUGAGUGUGACAAGGAUGACUUUUUGGAUAUGUGUGUGAGUUUGAGAGAGAGACAUUCACUAACAGUUUGAAGGCAACAUGCAAACUACAAUGUUUGAGCAAUUACACAAGCAUGAUUAUACACCAUUUCCAAACACAACACUCCUUUAAAAGAGUUUCAUGUGACAGAGCUGCACCUGCCUUUAAAAAGUUGUUAGUCCAUCAAAAUAGAUUUCUAUUUAAAGAUGAUUUUUACUGUUAUUUACUGUAAUCCAACUACAGUUAGUUACUGUUCACCUUAAGAAAA